CUUAAAUCCUUUUGUAAAUCUGAACAUUAGCCACUGAAGCAUAAGGAACACAGGUGCUUUAAAAAAUGAUAUAAAUUCAUAGAUUAUGUUUUAUGUUGUAGUUUAUCCUUGAACAUUUCUUAAUUCAGUUAUUGACCAGAAUUACUUUUAAAAUACCAUUUUCUUAUGCUUUGCAGUGAUGAUGAUGCCUUUUUGACACUGCAGCUAACAGGCAUAAAUGAGAAAGCUAUUCCAACUGAAAUAUCACCACAAGGGACCACAACAGGAGGAGAACUGAUUUCCCACUUCUUUGUCCUUUCACAUCUGUUGAACGUGACAGAUUCUCAAACAGCCUGAAGGAUUGAUCUGACUGCAAAACCACUCUCUCAGGCCAGCAGAUGCAAACUUCUGGAGGAGAGGGCUGAACAUUGUCCAUAGGAAGCUCUUUGAAUUCUUAUAUGUAUGAAGGGCUUAAAACAGUGGUACGAAGUAGAUUGAAAUGAAAGUGAAGUGAAUACCCUCUUAAGUAAGCUUCAUGCUACUACAAUAUGCACGUUCCAAAGAACGUGGCAGCACUAAUGGUUGGAAUCUUUAGAGGAAAACCCUACAAGGAUAUUCAACUGCAGAGAAGUAAAGACUGCAAGAUUGAACACUCACUUUAGAAGCACCCCAGAAGCAGACUCACUUCAUGAAGCCUUGAUCUGCACUACCAUGAAGAUCUGGAACUUUAAAUAAAUAAAAGGCAGAAGUCCAUACUAGGAGAAAAGCUCUGUUCUCUGCAGCAUGAUAACCCAUCGGGAAACAGAAAAGGUCCUGCCUGAUCUAAAGCUGUGGAAAUCCUUCAACUCAAAAGACAAGGCUCACUGGCAGUUUCAGAGAACCAAGACAAUAAACAUAAAACUGAUAUCCAAGAGGAUAAACAUAAAACUGAUCUUCUGUCCAUACAGUGACACCUUAGAGACUCCAGGAAAGAUCCAGUCAAAUUCACAUACAUUCAGGUUUACCCUAUCUUUCCAGGACUUUCAGUGGCAUUCAUUUCUUAAAAGUGUCUUGCCCAGUUAUGCCAAGAUAUUUGCUUAA
This 1059-nucleotide long non-coding RNA is filed under the name Anser brachyrhynchus (Pink-footed goose). Its description in RNAcentral is "lncRNA (ENSABRG00000020024.1)". Lineage: Eukaryota; Metazoa; Chordata; Aves; Anseriformes; Anatidae. The record is from RNAcentral.